This is a long non-coding RNA of Oncorhynchus keta (chum salmon), 294 nucleotides long. RefSeq lists it as uncharacterized. The transcript has 3 exons. The record is from RefSeq and is a predicted model, not a curated record. NCBI's taxonomy places the organism in Eukaryota, Metazoa, Chordata, Actinopteri, Salmoniformes, Salmonidae.
CCCUGUACUAUGAGAUAUCUGGUCUCUCUCUCUCUAGGUUCCCCCUGUACUAUGAGAUAUCUGGUCUCUCUCUCUCUAGGUUCCCCCUGUACUAUGAGAUAUCUGGUCUCUCUCUCUCUAGGUUCCCCCUGUACUAUGAGAUAUCUGGUCUCUCUCUCUCUAGGUUCCCCCUGUACUAUGAGAUAUCUGGUCUCUCUCUCUCUAGGUUCCCCCUGUACUAUGAGAUAUCUGGUCUCUCUCUCUCUAGGUUCCCCCUGUACUAUGAGAUAUCUGGUCUCUCUCUCUCUAGGUUCC